This 407-nucleotide ribosomal RNA is filed under the name uncultured bacterium. Its description in RNAcentral is "partial 16S ribosomal RNA". It matches the Rfam family "Bacterial small subunit ribosomal RNA", at positions 30 to 526 of the family's 1533-position model. The record is from RNAcentral.
AUUGAACGCUGGCGGCAGGCCUAACACAUGCAAGUCGAGCGGAGCGGCGGACGGGUGCGUAAUGCCUAGGAAUCGGCCUGGUAGUGGGGGAUGACGUCAGGAAACGGGCGCUAAUACCACAUACUAUCAGAUGAGGCUCGGUCGGAUUAGCUAUUUGGUGGGGGAAAGGCCUACCACGGCGACGAUCCGGAACUGGUCUGAGAGGAUGAGCAGUCACACUGGAACUGAGACACGGUCCAGACUCCUACGGUAGUCAGCAGUGGGGAAUAUUGGACAAUGGGCGAAAGCCUGAUCCAGCCAUGCCGCGUGUGUGAAGAAGGUCUUCGGAUUGUAAAGCACUUUAAGUUGGGAGGCGUUACCAUCAGAAUAAGCACCGGCUAACUUCGUGCCAGCAGCCGCGGUAAUUC